GGCCAUCAAGCUACAGAGGGUCUUAUGAAUGGAACCCCAAAUGAGCUCAACUAACAACUUCCACCAAGGACCCCUGGACCAACCUACUGGUCCUUUGACUGGCCUAGAGAGUUCCCCUCUGGAGGACACUAACACUGCAGGACCCCUUCUUUGCCCCUAUCCAGCAGUUAGAGUCCUGAAGACUUCAGAGCAAUGUUACUAUAUUACAAGAUUACUAGAAUGACAGCACAUUGGUCACAUGGAGGCAGAGUUGGCAGAGAGUGGCUACUGAUCAGGGGCAUAUUUUACGAGGGGCACUAGCAGACUCGCUCACAUUAGGAUGGAGCCCUGGGGACCAGGACUUGGGUAGGAUGUUUGCCAAGAGUCGACACUGAGAUUCCUGUUCUGAGAAGAUAUCUUUCAAAACAUUUCAAGGCAUUGGAUAUGAGGCAAUGAAGGAUGGUGAUCCCUGAGAGAUGGGAAGCAAACAAGAGUUUCUGAGUCAUGCAGCUUCAGCUACAGUAAACAAAGGAGGAUUCAAAUUGCAUGUCCCUAUUCACCUUUCCUGAAUCACAGUGAUGUUGGAGGUCAUUUCAGAAGUGUUGGUCCCAUGAGCAAUGGAAUGCAUCCACAACUGCCACCACACAACCCCCAGCUUCCUUAUGAAGAAAAUCAACAAACAACUACAAGCAAUUAUUACUGUUUAAUAAUUAUGAACUGUUUAAUCAUUACAAACAAUUAUUUAUUUAUAAGUAAAUCUUACUAUUUAUAAGUAAAUAAAUAAUUUAUUUAUGA
Molecule: non-coding RNA, 774 nt
Organism: Macaca mulatta (Rhesus monkey)
Lineage: Eukaryota; Metazoa; Chordata; Mammalia; Primates; Cercopithecidae
Source: RefSeq, a predicted model, not a curated record